CUACUUACCCAAUCUUUCUACAGCUCUUUUUGCAGUUUUCUCUGCCUGCGUGUCACUAUGCAAAACUUUGUCAAGUGAUUUCUGAAGUAUAGUUCUUUAAUCACACAACGCAGUAUGACUCCAUUUUCUAGUUAAGCAAAUUGAAGUAUAGAAAAGGGAGAGACCUUCGUCAAGGUCACAUGACUUGUAAAUUUCAGAGAUGGGUCUCUCUGGCUCCAAAGCCACAUUCUGGUCACAUUUGGUCUCUGGUCCAAAGCCGCAUUCUUUUCACCAUAUCAUGCUCUCAGGCAUCAGGAAAGUCUCCAUACGUUCCUGGAAGGUGGUUGACUUCCUGCCUUUCUCAGCAGCCUGUGUCCCAGUUGCUUCCACAUUGCUGACAAGCAAGCCCUUUACUGAGAUCCCUGCUGUAAGCUGCAUUGAAGCCAAGCAUCAGGUCAGGAUACUGUUUACUGGGCAGUGGAGUUGGGAGGGAAAAGCACCAGUGCCUAUGACUUCUGCAUUUUAAUAUUCACUUAACUUUGUAGAGAGUAAUUAUAUUCCACUCAUUCUACACCAGCUGGUAUUUACUUCAUCCUCCAUCAGGCAUCAACAGAGCAUGGGACUGCAAGACAGAAAUAUUACUCUGGUGAGCAUAAAUAUUUCAUUUUUCACACCACAAAUGCGUUGAUGAUUUAUUAAUUAGCCUAAAGGCUGCUGCCUCUGCAGAGCUGAAAAUGAAGCCUUUCUGCUCUAAGAAUUGAGCCUGUCUGGGACACAGUGCCCAUGGGUGAUGCUCAACUGGGAACAGAGCCCAACUUUGUCAAACAGCCUCAUGAUUGCCCAGUCCAAACUUCUCAGGCCCAGUGUUCACUCUUGACUGCCUGCAGAAGCCCUACAGAUAAAUUUUCCAGCCGCAAAAAAAAAUCUUGUUUAUGCCUUUCCAGAAAAUGUAGCUGGGACCACAGCCAACUAGUCUACCUAUCAGCCAGCUGCUGAGAGGAGCCUGCCAGUCAGCUGAAGGGUCAGUGCCUGCCUUUGACUUUGACUCAGCUGCUGAGGCUACAUGACUCAUCCGAGAGUAAGAUACUCAGGAGACCCAAUGGAGCCUCCUCCUUGAGCUUCAGCUGUAAAUAUCAGGAGUCUCAGCCAUAAACCUAGCAACGGGCGAGAUAUUACUUUUCUCCUCUACGAAUGAGACAUUCCUUUGAAACACCAUACAUCAAACUUAUAAAAUGUUUUAUAUGUGGAUUUUAACAGCUAUUGGGAAUUCGCGGUCUCACUAUGUUUCUUGGAACUCCUAAGCUCAAGUGAUGUUCCCACCUCUCCCUCCCAAAGUGCUUGAAUUACAGGUGUAAGCUACAGUGCCUAGUCCCUUUUUCAUAUUUCUUUAGGUAUAUUUUUUCUGUCUAGCCUAUUUUAAGCAUUUCAAACAAAAAGCCGAUGUCAAUAUAGUAUUCAAAAAUGUAGAUGUUUAGAGGAAGUCAAGUAAAUGUACAGGGAGUGGCAAUGUCUUCCUUAUGAGUAGAGCAUCCACCUCAGAGCAAUCUUUGUCUUGCCUUUAUGUUGAGUUCUAGGAGAAUAAAUAAGCAGGAAGCAAAAAGGAGAGAAGUGGGCUGGAUCGCUGUGGUUCCUUCCUAGAGGAGGCAACAAAUAGGCAUUUGCUCAGAUCCUUAUAUUACACAAAAAGAUGAAUUCCUGAAGCCUGUGAAAUUAAAUAUUUUCAAAAAUAAAGCAAUGGAUCUCUAAAAUAAGUAUACGUUUAUUUUUACUCAACUUCUGCAGAGAGGACCUUUGAAGCUAAAAUUCAAUAGAAGAUACCAUAAAUUUAAAAAUUUAAAAAAAACACUUAAAACUAAAUAUCAUAUCUAAAAUAAAAAUGCAAAUUAAAAAGAUAAUGAUUUGGAAAUAUUAGUUUAUUAAUAUCUCUAUCAUAUACAAAUCUCAAGGUCGAUAUUUACAAGAUGACUAGUAACAUCGGUACUGAGCAUAACAUCAAGUGAAGACAGGGGCUCAAACAUUUUCCUGAAGGUAUUAACUACAUAAUUGCAUUCUUGGCAAAUGAGUCAUUAGACAAAUUGCUACAAAUAAACAAAAGCUAGAUACUUAUGUUUUAGGCAGUCUAGACAACCUGAUAACUUAAUGAACAUAAUUGCUGAAAACUAUUAAAAGUUCUUGGUUGAUUAUAGCAAAAAUUCUUUUUAAAUUGAUCAAUGAUAAUGAUUGACAAAAACAAAACGAAACAAAUACAAAACCUCAGGAUUGACAGAAGAAGUGGCAAAUCCUGUCUGGAGCAAAGAAAAUUCAAAACAGAUGUCAAAGAAUUCCCAUAGAUCGAGUUUCAAGCAAUGAGAUCUCUUGGUUAAAGAGCAAAACAAAACAUAUAUGGUGACAACGAGGUACCAUGCAUUAAGGGCAGGAAAAUCAACAUGGCCAAAUGUCCAAUAUUGGAAUUAUUCUUUAGGAGUAUAAGCUUGAAGAAACAAAUUUAAACUAUGUUUAUUUAAAAAAAAACACAUAGAAAAUAACCAACUAGACUUUUCAAAUCAUCAAACUAAGUUCUGGAAAUGGAACACAGUGAGUAAUUAAAAUUAGAAAAUGCAAUAUCUAAGUUGAACAGCUAAUUUAAAAAGCUGAAUAAAGAAUUAAAUAAUCAAAUGAUAGGAUCAAAUGAAAACUAUAAAAAAAUGAAGAACAGUAACAAAGACAGAAAAUUGGGGAGAAAUUUUAAUAAACAUGCAAGAUAAAAAGAUCUAACAUAAGAUCCAUUGGAGUUUCAGAGGAAAUGAGAUAAACUGAAAAUAAUCUAUUAGGAAGAACAGCUACAGUAGUCAAGAGAGUGUGAUAUUGGCAUGAAGAUAGGCAAAAUAAAGUUCAUAAAUAGACCCACACAAAUAUGGACAACUGAUUUUGGACAAAGAGCCAAAAGCAUCUUUAAGUGGAUUUUCAGAAAUUGCUGAUAAAACAGUCAGAUAACCACAUGCAAAAGUAACAACAAAAACUAAAAAAAAAAAAAAAAAAAAAAAAUGAAAAACUGUAGUUCAUACCUCCCAUCAUAUACAAUAAUCAAAUAGGCUGUAGGCCUACAUUUAAAACAUAAAACUAUAAAGCUUCUAGAAAGAAAACAUCAAAACAAAUGUUUAUGAUCUUGAGUUAGGCAAAAGUAUUUUAGUCACAACACUGUCAUGAGUUGAAUUGUGUCCCCACAAAAAAAAAAAAAAGUUGAUGUCCUAACCCCUAGUACUUCAGAAUGUGAUAUUACUUGAAAAUAAGGUCUUCACAUAGGUAAUCAAGUUAAAAUAAGUUCAUUAAAGGGAACUUAAUACAAUAUGAUUAGUGUCUUUGUACAAAGGGAAGAUGUGGAUAUGACAGAAAUGCACAGACAGAAGACAAUGAAGAGAGACAUAGGGAGAAUGCCAUGUGACAGCCAGGGAUGAGAGUGAUGCAUCCAAUAGUCAAGGGAUGCCAAAGAUGGCCAGCAAACUACCAGAAGCUAGGAGAGAGGCACAGAACAGAUUCUCUCUCACAGCCCUCCAAAGGAGCCGACCCUGUUGACACCUUGAUUUCAGACUUCUAACCUCCAUAACUGUGGAACAAUACAUUUUGGUUAUUUUAAGCCACUCACCUAGUUUGCGGAACUUUGUUACAGCAGUCCUAGGAAACUAAUAUUUAAUACAAAUACCAUAAACAUGAUCUAUACAUUAAAAAAUAACAAAAAAGAAAUACUGGACGUCAUCAAAAUUAAGAACCUGUGCUCAUCUGGGCGCAGUAGCUCAUGCCUGUAAUCCCUGCACUUUGGGAGGCCAGGUGGGCAGAUCACCAGGUCAAGAGAUCAAGACCAUCCUGGCCAACAUGAUGAAACUCUGUCUGUACUAUAAAUACAAAAAUAAGCUGGGCGUUAUGGUGGGUGCCUGUAAUCCCAGCUACUCGGGAGGCUGAGGCAGGAGAAUCACUUGAACUCGGGAGGUGGAGGUUGCAGUGAGCCAAGAAAUGAGAACAUAUAAAUAUACAAGAACUUGUAUCUGAAUGCUCAUGCAACUUUAUUUGAAAUAGCCCAAAACUGAAAACAAUCUAAAUGUGAAAAACUGCUCAGUGCAAAACCAAAUUGUUAUAUAUAACUAUACAGUGGCAUACUACUCAGCAAUAAAAAGGAAUGGACUGUUUUCAUAUACAACAACAGUCUUAAAUAAUUAAGCAGAGUGAAGGUAGAAACCUGGCAAAAUUUAUAUACUGCAUGCCUUCAUUUUUAAAUAGUCAUCCACAAUGCAC
RNAcentral lists this long non-coding RNA (4245 nucleotides) under Homo sapiens (human). RNAcentral describes it as "HSALNT0165598". Lineage: Eukaryota; Metazoa; Chordata; Mammalia; Primates; Hominidae. The record is from RNAcentral.